Molecule: long non-coding RNA, 6286 nt
Filed under: Sus scrofa (pig)
Lineage: Eukaryota; Metazoa; Chordata; Mammalia; Artiodactyla; Suidae
Description: lncRNA (ENSSSCG00055003581.1)
Source: RNAcentral
GGCUAGGGGUCUAAUCGGAGCUGUAGCCACCGGCCUACGCCAGAGCCACAGCAACGCGGGAUCCAAGCCGCAUCUGCAACCUACACCACAGCUCACAGCAACGCCAGUUCGUUAACCCACUGAGCAAGGGCAGGGACCGAACCCGCAACCUCAUGGUUCCUAGUCGGAUUCGUUAACCACUGCGCCACGACGGGAACUCCCUUCCUUCCUUUCUUUUCUUCCUUCCUUCCUUCCUUCCUUCCUUCCUUCCUCUCUCUCUCUCUCUCUCUCUCUCUCUUUUUUCUUUCUUUCUUUCUUUCUUUUUAUCUUUGGCUGCAUCCUCAGCAUGUGGAGGUUCCCUGGCCAGGGAUUGAACCCACGCCACAGCAGUGACAGUAUUGGCUCCUAACCUUUUGAGCCACCAGGGAACUCUCACGCUUACAGUCUGUAUAGCCACUCAAAAGUCCAUUUAUUUGUUAUUCUAAAGCAGUGAUUUUCGGGAGUUCACUUGUGGCGCAGCAGGUUAAGGAUCUAGCGUUUUCACUGCAGCAGGCUUGAGUCGCUGCUGUGGCGCAGGUUCGAUCCCUGGCUUGGGAACGUCUGCAUGCCAUGAGCAUAGACAAAAAUAAAUGAAUAAAUAAAUAAAGCAGUGAUUGUUAAGUAGGCAGUCCUAUUCAGCAGGGGGCCCUUGGCAAUGUCUGGAGACAUUUUGGUCGCCACGUGGGGUGGAGGAUCUGAUGGGCAGAGGCCAGGGAUGCUGCUAAACAUCCUGUGGUCCACAGGACAGCCUCCACCGCAGAGAAUGGUCUGGCCCCACUGUCUUUGUCCUGGGAUUGAAGACCUCUGGUCUGAAGGAACCAGUAGAACUAUCCGAUGGUGGCCAGCACAGUUGACACGUUUUUGCUCUGGCACACAGUGUUAUUUGUCUCUAGGACGAUUCAAGAGUUUUAGCUUCAUAAGUAGAGCUUCUGCACUUGCCUUUGUCUUCAGGGUUCUUUCAGGCAAGUGAGCAUAAAACCAGGCAGUUUGCCUUAGAAGGAGUUCAUUGAGAAUCAGUCCUCAGGCCAUGCGGUUAUAAUGUGAUGCUGGCGGCAAUGCAGUUCUCUUGCUUUAAUCUAUACCUUUUUUGGAGUUCCUGUCGUGGUGCAGUGGUUGAUGAAUCUGACUAGGAACCAUGAGGUUGUGGGUUCAAUCCCUGGCCUCGCUCAGUGGGUUAAGGAUCUGGUGGCAUUGCCGUGAGCUGUGGUGUAGGUCGCAGACACAGCUCAGAUCCUGCGCUGCUGUGGCUCUGGUGAAGGCUGGUGGCUACACCUCUGAUUAGACUCCUAGACAAGAAAAAAAAAAUCUAUACUGUUCCUCGUGGAGCGGGAGAUAGCUUGGAAUUGCAAGUAGGAACUUCUUUUUAAGAAGCCUCUUGGGCUUUUUAUGAUACGUCCAACUUAUUCCUGAUACUCCAGGGGGGCAUAGGUUACUGCCAAUUAAAAGAGAAGAGUAAGCAGUCAGGGUCAAAGAAGUUUUAAAAGGCUUUAUUUUUCCAAUAGUUUAUUCAUACGGUUUCAGAAAGCAAUUUGUUUUCUGUAGUUGACAUAGAAUUCUAAGCCUUGUGUAUUGUUUGUUCAUGGUGCAUGGGGGGUUCUGUUCCUUUGGUUUGGGGGGAACAAAAGGAAACAUUUUUAGAAGGAAAUUAAGUGAGUUGGGUUUUUUUUAAUAACGAUAUUUAUUUUUUUCCAUCAUAGCUGGUUUACAGUGUUCUGUACAGGAAGGUGACCCAGUCACACAUACAUGUAUGCCUUCUUUUUUCUCUCAUUAUCAUGCUCCGUCGUAAGUGGCUGUCGUCCCCCGUGCUGUACAGCAGGAUCUCAUUGCUUAUCUGAGUUGGCGUUUUUAAAUUUUGUCUGUUUUUUGCUUUUUCACAUGGUCUUGAGAGGGCAAAUGCCCUGUGGAUGUGAGUUUUGAUAUUCAGUUGUAGUGCAGCAGACAUUAGCGCAUAAUGCCCCUCCCACCUUUUGUGGAGUGGACCCCACGCUGUGAGAGAUGCUUGUCAGUCAAGGCAGCAGCUAAUUAGAUUAGCUCCGCUGCUUCCCUGGACACCUUCCAGCCGCACACGCACUGUCACAUCUGCCAUGGGCAUCAGUUCAGGCUCCCACUUUCCCUGUUCCUUUGACUCAAACCAGCCCACGUUUGGAACUGAAGAGAGUGCACGUUUCUGGGAUGUCCGCUCAUGUCUAGACCACGUUUGUUAGGUGGGGGCUAUCAGAACGGAAGCAGGAAGUGCACAUUCUUUAGGAGCAUACAACUAGGGACAAGGAGGGGGUCCUAGGCCCUCAAUGACUGUAUACAGCUCAAUUAAAUAACUCGUGAUAUUAUACCAGCCGUACAUACAGAGAUCCAAGGGGUUUGGAAUGCCCCAGCCUGUGAAUUUCUUUUUAGGGCCACACGGAUGGCAUAUGGAGGUUCCCAGGCUAGGGGUUGACCACAGCCACAGCAACUCAGAAAGGACUCGAGCCGAGUCUGCAACCUAUACCACAGCUCACGGCAAUGCCAGAUCCUUAACCCACUGAGCGAGGCCAGGGAUCGGACCCGUGUCCUCAUGGAUGCUAGUUAACUGCAUAGCCACGAUGGGAACUCCUGUUUUCACUUUUAAAUGAAAAUGGCCAAACUGAAAAUAGUGAGCUGUUGGAGUUCCUACCAUGGGGCAGUGGGUUUAGAAUCCAACUGCAGUGGCUCGGGUUGCUGCAGAGAAGUGAGUUCAAUCCCUAGCCUGGCAGUGGGUUAAGGGUCUGGGGUUGCCACAGCUGCAAUGUAGAUUGAAGCUGUGGCUCAGAUUCAAAACCUGGCCUGGGAAUUUCCAUAUGUUGUGAGUAUAGCCAUAAAAUUAAAAUAAUAUAAAAUUAGCUGUUGCUCAAGUUGCAGUAGACCAUUGGAGUUUGAAGGUAUUCUAGAAAUCUUCCUUUUUCCUUUCCUUUAUUCAUGGUAAAAAACAAAACCACCACCAACAAAAAACCCCCCUUGGAGUUCCCUCAUGCUCAGCGGGUUAAGGAUCCAGCAUGGCCACUCCUGUGGCUCUAGUCACUGCUAUGACAGGGGUUCGAUCCCUGGCCAGAGAGGGAACUUCCACAUGCCACAGGCAUGGCCAAACAAACAAAAAUCCCUGCUUUGCUUUAAUUGUGAAGCCGAUGGGAAGUCAGGGCUGAGGUCCUGACGGUGGGCAAUGCUGGUCACGUGGGCUCUCUGAACGGUGACUAUGCCCCCUGUGUGCCUGCAGGACCUAGGAACCAUGUGCCCCAGGCUUGUUCGUGCGCAAAUCACCCCAGUGCUCUCCAUUCUUCCCUCUGGGGAUGUAGUGGGAACCACCUCCCUUCGGUGAUGGCAAGGCAGCUUCGUGCAAAAGGCUUGUCCUCUGAUCUUCUCUCGUGGAACAUGACAGUAUUCUCUGUGAUGGCUGAAUUAAUGAUCAGAACUGGUUUGCUAGCAGACAGUUGGAUGCUAAUUAUGAUUGGUACCUUUGCAACCCCCACACCCAAAUCUGUUGAUGUUUGUUGGUGGUGGUAAAAAUGAAAAGCCGUUAAAUAUGAGGAAAAAAAAAGGUAAUUUUUUUGAACAGCGGAAAGCAAUGCAGAUUAGGCCAGGAAACUUUGAUGGAGUUCUCUGUGAUCUGAGCCAAAGCCACUCCACCUGGUUAUGGGGAAGGAAAGCGAAGAGGUGUUUAAUUAAUUGUUACUUUCUGGUCAAGAGGAGUUUGAGUUUGGAUAUGUCAGUUUCAAAAACCAGCAUUGAUUAGAUCUGCGGGGACAUUUGGGGAGGUGUUCCCAGAAGGUCUAAAUCUGAUUCUCCAAUUUGACCUCACGCUGUGUCCCGGGUUUGUGAAAUCUUUCUAGCGGGUUCCACCUGGGAAGAAUUAUUUUCAAUUAAAUGGAUCUGACCAGUGGAGAAAGAAGCAUGAAAAGCCCAAGCAGUGUGGGGUCCUGUUGUGAACAAAGGUGUCCAGCUCACAAAGGGACAGCUUGGGUGUCAGCCUGUGCUCAGACGGGCUCUGGGUACCAUUUUACCUUCCCAUCGACAGUUGCUUUAAUGAGGUGUCGAGUUGAAGGCGGGUGGGUGCUUCCCGGAGCUGUGUGAUGCAAGAAGCUGGAUGUGGUCUCUGACUCUCGCUGGGGACAAGCCAGAAGGAGGCCAACACACCCUUGAUCAUUGGAAGGGGUGAUAAACUAUUGGGAAAUUAUCAAAAAAAAAAAAGUAGGAAGGGGAUCUAGCAUUAUUGGGGAAAGCAGAAAAGCAGAGAAAAAGGAAACUAGGAAACUUAUUCAUUUCACAUAGGUAUGUGAACAGGCUAGGGGUCUAAUUGGAGCUGCAGCCUACACCACAGCCACAGCAAAGCCAGAUCUGAGCCGCUUCUGCAACCCACACCACAGCUCACCCGGCAGCGCUGGAUCCUUAACCCACUGAGUGAGGCAAGGGAUCGAACCCGCAACCUCAUGGCUCCUAGUUGGAGUCGUUUCCGCUGUGCCACGCCUCCAGGAACUCCAGAAACCUAAACAUUUGUUUUUUCUUCUCUCUUUUGGCUGCCCCUCAGCAUAUGGAAGUCCCAGGUUUAGGGAUCGGAUCCGAGCCUCAGUAUCGACUACACCACAGCUGCAGCAACGAUGGAGCCUUAACCCACUGUGCGGGGCUGGGGAUUGAACCCGCAUCAUAGCUCCUGAUCCUGUUGCACCUCAGCGGGAACUCUCUAAACCUCUUUUAGGUCUUGUCUGGGUUUGUAGGAGUGCAGUGAGUCCCCACUCAUGAUCCACUCAUAACCAGCAUCAUUUCCUCUGGGGGAGAAUGGACACAAGUGCAAAGACAGGUGCAUGCAAACAAACUGCCUUGUUCCAUGUGGAACAGGGUGUAGUUGAGGAUUCGGCCCUUUUAUAAAGGCAGUUUUAAAGUCCCUGCAGCUUUUCUCCGGUUACCCUGUGGGGGUGGAUUUCCUGAUACAUUUUUCCUGCUUCCAAGAUACAAAGGGAAGAGAAGAUGAAUAAGAAAUUGAAGGGAAUUAUACUUAGUAAAUAUCGUUUCUCUUUGCCUUUUCCAAUUUUUCCCUUGAGACUUUUAGUCCUUGCCAUACAGUCAUUCAGGGACCUCCGUUCUCCCCUCUCUUGAGCCAGGGAGGGAAGCCCUCCUUGUUUAAAAAGACCCCGAGCCUUCCAUCCAUCCAAGUUCUGCUCACCGGAAGCGGUGCCGUAGCAUGGCUCCACCUGGCACAGGUAGAGCUUGGCAGUUUGGCUCAGUUGGAAGAGGUGAGGAGCGUGGGCGCCAAGCAACAGCUUGAACACCUGGAUUUGUUCAUGAGUUUUCUCGUUUAUUUAUUCACACGCCCUUUCACUCACGAACUGGUUCAUGGAAACUUGCUGAGCAUUAGAGAAUGUGGGGGACCAGGCCUGUCAUCAUUGUAAAGAAAACACGGGCCCCACCUGUUAAGGUCCCCACAGUGCGUUACAACCCCUGGGGAAGUUGUGGGGGGGGGGCAGUACCGGCCUCGCACAUUCUCCCACCAGCUGUUUCCAUGGAGACAAAGCAUGUGAAAGCCAAGUUAACACAGCUGGGCUUGUCCCUUUUUAAUGGACACAAGAAUUAGAACUUUGCCGUGUUCACAUAUUAGAAACCCACAUCCAAACAUCAGCAGUUUAAUAGCCGCAUAUCUCUGGAUUCUGUCCAUUUUGUUUGAGGCCUUCCUGGUGACUUUGCAGGGAGUGAUGCGGUCCAUCUGAAAAGAGCCUGGACUGGGCCUUCACGUAGGUUUUGAGUGCGUUUCUGCCGCCAGUGACCUCUGUCUCCUUGGCUAACUUGUGUGCCCCAGCCAAGCCUGUUUCUCAUCUGUGAAACAACGCAUUUUAACAAAAAGAGUUUAGGUCCUCCUAACUUUUAAAAUCUAUGCUUUUUUACCUGAAUGGGUCAAACCCAGCAAUUUUAAAAUUUUGUUUGUUUGUUUCUGUCUUUUGUCUUUUUAGUGCCACAUGGCAUAUGGAGGUUCCCAGGCUAGGGGUCCAAUUGGAGCUGAAGCUUCUGGCCUAUGCCACAGCCACAACAUCAGAUCCAAGCCACAUCUUCGAACUAUACCACAGCUCAUGACAACGCCUGAUCCGUAACCCAUUGAGCAAGGCCCAGGAUUGAACCUGCGUCCUCAUGGAUGCUGGUCGGGUUUGCUGAACCACAGGGGAACUCCCAGCAAUUUUAAAGUUUAAUCCAUUGAUUUUGUUAUCAAAAUGGGGAACAAAACCCAAACAAACUUUUUUUUUUUCCUGUUUAGGAUGAGAUGUUUGGAAAAAAA